Molecule: ribosomal RNA, 433 nt
Filed under: uncultured bacterium
Lineage: Bacteria
Description: partial 16S ribosomal RNA
Rfam family: Bacterial small subunit ribosomal RNA
Source: RNAcentral
AACGAACGCUGGCGGCAUGCCUAACACAUGCAAGUCGAACGAGACCUUCGGGUCUAGUGGCGCACGGGUGCGUAACGCGUGGGAACCUGCCCUUAGGUUCGCAAUAACUCCCCGAAAGGGGUGCUAAUACCGGAUAAUGUCUUCGGACCAAAGAUUUAUCGCCUUUGGAUGGGCCCGCGUUGGAUUAGCUAGUUGGUAGGGUAAAAGCCUACCAAGGCGACGAUCCAUAGCUGGUCUGAGAGGAUGAUCAGCCACACUGGGACUGAGACACGGCCCAGACUCCUACGGGAGGCAGCAGUGGGGAAUAUUGGACAAUGGGCGAAAGCCUGAUCCAGCAAUGCCGCGUGAGUGAUGAAGGCCUUAGGGUUGUAAAGCUCUUUUACCCGGGAUGAUAAUGACAGUACCGGGAGAAUAAGCUCCGGCUAACUCCGUG